RNAcentral lists this ribosomal RNA (1133 nucleotides) under Leuconostoc mesenteroides subsp. mesenteroides. Its description in RNAcentral is "bacterial SSU rRNA". It matches the Rfam family "Bacterial small subunit ribosomal RNA", at positions 341 to 1465 of the family's 1533-position model. Lineage: Bacteria; Bacillati; Bacillota; Bacilli; Lactobacillales; Lactobacillaceae. The record is from RNAcentral.
ACGGGAGGCUGCAGUAGGGAAUCUUCCACAAUGGGCGAAAGCCUGAUGGAGCAACGCCGCGUGUGUGAUGAAGGCUUUCGGGUCGUAAAGCACUGUUGUAUGGGAAGAACAGCUAGAAUAGGAAAUGAUUUUAGUUUGACGGUACCAUACCAGAAAGGGACGGCUAAAUACGUGCCAGCAGCCGCGGUAAUACGUAUGUCCCGAGCGUUAUCCGGAUUUAUUGGGCGUAAAGCGAGCGCAGACGGUUUAUUAAGUCUGAUGUGAAAGCCCGGAGCUCAACUCCGGAAUGGCAUUGGAAACUGGUUAACUUGAGUGCAGUAGAGGUAAGUGGAACUCCAUGUGUAGCGGUGGAAUGCGUAGAUAUAUGGAAGAACACCAGUGGCGAAGGCGGCUUACUGGACUGCAACUGACGUUGAGGCUCGAAAGUGUGGGUAGCAAACAGGAUUAGAUACCCUGGUAGUCCACACCGUAAACGAUGAACACUAGGUGUUAGGAGGUUUCCGCCUCUUAGUGCCGAAGCUAACGCAUUAAGUGUUCCGCCUGGGGAGUACGACCGCAAGGUUGAAACUCAAAGGAAUUGACGGGGACCCGCACAAGCGGUGGAGCAUGUGGUUUAAUUCGAAGCAACGCGAAGAACCUUACCAGGUCUUGACAUCCUUUGAAGCUUUUAGAGAUAGAAGUGUUCUCUUCGGAGACAAAGUGACAGGUGGUGCAUGGUCGUCGUCAGCUCGUGUCGUGAGAUGUUGGGUUAAGUCCCGCAACGAGCGCAACCCUUAUUGUUAGUUGCCAGCAUUCAGAUGGGCACUCUAGCGAGACUGCCGGUGACAAACCGGAGGAAGGCGGGGACGACGUCAGAUCAUCAUGCCCCUUAUGACCUGGGCUACACACGUGCUACAAUGGCGUAUACAACGAGUUGCCAACCCGCGAGGGUGAGCUAAUCUCUUAAAGUACGUCUCAGUUCGGAUUGUAGUCUGCAACUCGACUACAUGAAGUCGGAAUCGCUAGUAAUCGCGGAUCAGCACGCCGCGGUGAAUACGUUCCCGGGUCUUGUACACACCGCCCGUCACACCAUGGGAGUUUGUAAUGCCCAAAGCCGGUGGCCUAACCUUUUAGGAAGGAGCCGUCUAAGGCAG